UCGGUGAAAAAGUUAUAUGACUAUUUUGGAGUGCUCUUGAAGUUUGCCAUAGUUCUAUGAAUUCGACGGUAUAGUACAACAUCAUCAUUACCCGAGGAAGGGUAUCAGGCGUAAGUGAGUGAACUUGCAUUUACAUUGUAUUUGUGGUUUAUUACCAAAGUUGUGGGAUUUGAAGUUAUCAAAGGUUGCCAAAGUUAUUAUUCAUGAAGUUGGUUAUCUCUAGAAAUUUUAUUUAAUGUCUGUAAGUUGUUUUUUCCUUUAUGAUUUAAAUUAAUGAUCGAUGCACUAGUAGUUUAAAAGCCUGUUAGAGCAAGUUUGUUUGUUGAGAUCUUUUAUCUCACACUUGCUAUAUAUAUCUCCUAGGUUGACCUAAGGUUUGCUAGUUUGGAAGGAUUGGGAGUAGCAUCAUUGUUUGCACAUCUUGGAAUCCACACAUAAUGUUUUGUUAUUAGUGUUGUAUGGUGAAGAACAAUGCCUUUUAAUGUUAGUGUAAGGAUACGAUGCUCUACCUUAGUGGGAUGUUUAUUGAUGUGCCUUAUUAUAUACAAUUGUUGUUACUUCUGCUAAAAUCUGCUUUAGUGGUGUUGCUGCUGAGACUUGUUCGCCCAGCAUGUUUGUGGAGUAUUUUAGUGGCAUCUUAGGUAUUAUUUUUACCUAUGUGUUAUAAGUGUCUUGAACCCCUAUCCUGCCAUAGAUGGAGUAGGGAGAGAUGAAGGAACCUGAAGAUUUAUUAUUCGGAUACGUCGUACCGUACCUUCCGUGCCAAUGGUACAAUUAUAAUUGGGACCUUCAGUCUCCAAUUUAUAAAUAUUGAGCCUCUGGUAUUGUAAUUAAG
RNAcentral lists this long non-coding RNA (835 nucleotides) under Setaria viridis. Its description in RNAcentral is "long non-coding RNA (SVIR_LNC008229)". Lineage: Eukaryota; Viridiplantae; Streptophyta; Magnoliopsida; Poales; Poaceae. The record is from RNAcentral.